RNAcentral lists this long non-coding RNA (1176 nucleotides) under Ananas comosus (pineapple). RNAcentral describes it as "long non-coding RNA (ACOM_LNC017643)". The record is from RNAcentral. Lineage: Eukaryota; Viridiplantae; Streptophyta; Magnoliopsida; Poales; Bromeliaceae.
UUAAAAAAAUAAAAAAAUAUAUAAUCAACUUGUCAUUGAUAUUAUAGUAAAGGAAUAAUUGUCUAUAUACUCCCGUCAAAACUUUAAAAAUAUCUCAUUUAUUCUCCUUUUUUUUUUCUUUCUAAUACAUCCCUUAUAUAUUCCUCCGUUAUUCUAAAAUAUUCCUGUAGUUAUCAUCUGUUAAAGUUAAAUAUCUACCACAGUUAAAAAAAUUUAAAAUAUCAUUUUUAUCCUUAACUUAAGGCAAUUAAAAAAUAUUGGUGAUGAUAGAAAGAUAUAUUUGAAAAGACCAAAAAACAAAAUACCCCUAACUUAAGGGCAAAUAAGAAAAAUUGGUGCGGAUAGAAAGGUAUAUUUGAAAGGACAAAAUAAUAAUUUUAUAGAGAUAACAGAGUUCAUUAACAGAUUUUAACUCUAGAAAUGUAUUUGAAAUAGGUUGGAACGUAAAAAAGCUAUUUUCAAUAUUAGCUUUCUAAGAAGGAUAAAUCAGAAAGUCAAAUAUUUUUCGAAAAUAUAUAAGUAAUUAUCCUUAUAAUAAAAAGGCUAAAUUACAUAAAAUCUUCCUGUCAAAAUCUAAUUUUUUACUUUCUCCCCUGUCAUUUAAAAACCUACACUUUGCCCCCUUGUAAAUUAAAAAAAUGUUUAGGAGGGUACAGUGUGUAAAAUGACUAUUUUGCCUCUCACCUUUUUCAUCUCCUCCAUCUUCUUCCUCAACUGCCGCCUCGAUCGGCCGUAAUUUCUUUUCAUUUUCUUCUCCACCUGCUUCCCUUUUCCUCCUGCACCCUCGCCGCCCCUCGAUUUUGGCGACAGUAGGAAGAAAAUUGAGGUAGGUGUUGAUGGAGAGGUAGGCAAGGGCAAUGAGGGCGAGGGCGAGGGUGAAGGCGAGGCGGCGGAGGAGGACGAAGGGGAUGUCAGCGAGGGCGAGGCAGUGGAGGAGGGCGAGGCGGCGAGGUGGCGGCGAGGCGGCGAGCCGGAGAAAGGCGAAUCAAAAGGGAAGAGGGCAGAGGGGUAUUUUUAGUAUAAAAAAAUAUUUUAUAACGGAAUCCUAAUGAUGGGGAGUGAAGUGCAUAUUUUUUAUUUUAUAAGGGGGCAAAGUGUAGAUUUUUAAAUGACAAAAUGAAAAAUAAAAAAUUAAAUUUUAAUAAAAAUUUUUCUAUAAUUUAGCCUAAUAAAAAA